This 1292-nucleotide ribosomal RNA is filed under the name metagenome. RNAcentral's name for it is "bacterial LSU rRNA". It matches the Rfam family "Bacterial large subunit ribosomal RNA", at positions 1277 to 2685 of the family's 2925-position model. The record is from RNAcentral.
UUAGAUCAGAAGCGAGAAUGUUGACAUGAGUAGCGACAAACAGGGUGAGAGACCCUGUCGCCGUAAGUCCAAGGGUUCCUGCUUAAAGCUAAUCUGAGCAGGGUAAGCCGGCCCCUAAGGCGAGGCCGAAAGGCGUAGUCGAUGGGAACCACGUUAAUAUUCGUGGGCCAGAAGGAUGUGACGGAUCUCAAAGAUUGUCUGCCCUUAUCGGAUUGGGUGGGCCGUUCAGAGGUUCCGGGAAAUAGCCCUUCAUCAGACCGUACCCUAAACCGACACAGGUGGACUGGUAGAGUAUACCAAGGCGCUUGAGAGAACCACAUCAAAGGAACUCGGCAAAAUGCCUCCGUAAGUUCGCGAGAAGGAGGCCCCAUCUGUAGGCAACUAUGGGUGGGGGGCACAAACUAGGGGGUGGCGACUGUUUACUUAAAACACAGGGCUGUGCGAAGCCGUAAGGCGACGUAUACAGUCUGACGCCUGCCCGGUGCUGGGAGGUUAAAAGGAGGGGUGCAAGCUCUGAAUUGAAGCCCCAGUAAACGGCGGCCGUAACGAUAACGGUCCUAAGGUAGCGAAAUUCCUUGUCGGGUAAGUUCCGACCUGCACGAAUGGCGUAACGAUCUCCCCGCUGUCUCUGAUGUGGACUCAGCGAAAUUGAGCUGUGUGUCAAGAUGCACACUUCCCGCGGUUAGACGGAAAGACCCCAUGCACCUUUACUCCAGCUUCGCACUGGUAUCAGGAUUGUGAUGUGCAGGAUAGGUGGUAGGCAUCGAAGCGGGGACGCCAGUUCCCGUGGAGCCUCCCUUGAGAUACCACCCUUCGCACUCUUGAUAUCUAACCGCGGUCCGUUAUCCGGAUCCGGGACCCUGCGUGGUGGGGAGUUUGACUGGGGCGGUCGCCUCCCAAACAGUAACGGAGGCGCGCGAAGGUAGGCUCAGACCGGUCGGAAAUCGGUCGUUGAGUGCAAUGGCAGAAGCCUGCCUGACUGCAAGACUGACAAGUCGAGCAGAGACGAAAGUCGGUCAUAGUGAUCCGGUGGUCCCAAGUGGGAGGGCCAUCGCUCAACGGAUAAAAGGUACGCUGGGGAUAACAGGCUGAUGAUGCCCAAGAGUCCAUAUCGACGGCAUCGUUUGGCACCUCGAUGUCGGCUCAUCUCAUCCUGGGGCUGGAGCAGGUCCCAAGGGUAUGGCUGUUCGCCAUUUAAAGAGGUACGUGAGCUGGGUUUAGAACGUCGUGAGACAGUUCGGUCCCUAUCUGCCGUGGGUGUAGGAGACUUGAGAAGAGUUGCCCCUAGUACG